GGAAAGAUGGGUCAUCUUCAACAUUCCUUAAUGGUCCAGUUGGGAUUUUGGCUAUUCUUCACUAGAUUCUUUACACUACAAUUCAGGUUUUUCAGUUUUUAGUUUACUUUUCAUGUUUUAUUUCUUCUUUUACUUAAAUUCUCUUGUAAUUAACAUGGAUUAUGAGCAGUUAUUUUAGAUUUUGGAGUUGGAGAGGCAGUAUUUGGGUGAUUUUGUGGAUUUAAAUUGGGUUAGUCCCAAUUUAGUGAAAUUCAUGAAGUUUAAUCCAUUUCUUGUGUACUUAUUGACAUACUUAGUGUAGGGCCCCAUUAAGUAUUAUUCUUAAUCUUUGAUUGAAGGACUGAAAGGAGAAAAAU
RNAcentral lists this unclassified non-coding RNA (356 nucleotides) under Hevea brasiliensis (rubber tree). The record is from RNAcentral. Lineage: Eukaryota; Viridiplantae; Streptophyta; Magnoliopsida; Malpighiales; Euphorbiaceae.